Molecule: transfer RNA, 84 nt
Filed under: Pseudarthrobacter sp.
Lineage: Bacteria; Bacillati; Actinomycetota; Actinomycetes; Micrococcales; Micrococcaceae
Also listed under: 5 other names
Description: tRNA-Leu
Rfam family: tRNA
About the family: Transfer RNA (tRNA) molecules are approximately 80 nucleotides in length. Their secondary structure includes four short double-helical elements and three loops (D, anti-codon, and T loops).
Source: RNAcentral
GCGCGAGUGGUGAAAUUGGCAGACACGCAGGAUUUAGGUUCCUGUGCCUUCGGGCGUGGGGGUUCAAGUCCCCCCUUGCGCACC